UACGGAGGGUGCAAGCGUUAUCCGGAUUCACUGGGUUUAAAGGGUGCGUAGGCGGACAGGUAAGUCAGUGGUGAAAUCUCUGGGCUUAACCCAGAAACUGCCGUUGAUACUAUUUGUCUUGAAUAUCCUGGAGGUAGGCGGAAUAUGUCAUGUAGCGGUGAAAUGCUUAGAUAUGACAUAGAACACCGAUAGCGAAGGCAGCUCACUAAAGUGUAACUGACGCUGAGGCACGAAAGCGUGGGGAUCAAACAGG
This 253-nucleotide ribosomal RNA is filed under the name uncultured bacterium. Its description in RNAcentral is "partial 16S ribosomal RNA". It matches the Rfam family "Bacterial small subunit ribosomal RNA", at positions 524 to 776 of the family's 1533-position model. The record is from RNAcentral.